This 6435-nucleotide long non-coding RNA is filed under the name Trifolium pratense (red clover). RNAcentral describes it as "long non-coding RNA (TPRA_LNC001992)". Lineage: Eukaryota; Viridiplantae; Streptophyta; Magnoliopsida; Fabales; Fabaceae. The record is from RNAcentral.
GAAUUAUUAAUUUUUCAUAGAUUAUUUUCUCCUAUUAAUCUUGUGUUGUUUUUUCUCCACUAGAUCUACGAGGAGCGAAACAAAAAUCGGUUCGUGGACUAACAUCAUAGGUGUGACUGAAUUGAAAUCACCGGUGAUCGCUUUUUCUACUCCUUUGAUGUGCUUUGAUCUAUUUUUCUUUUUGACCAUUUUGAACAUAAUCUCCAAUGUAACAACUGUGAUUUCUUUGAUUAUUAGGUAUAUAUAAAAUUGUGAGCAUAAGAUGACCUAAUUUUGUCUUGGAUUUAAAAAAGGUAUAAAAUAAUGAAAUUUAUAUAUUGUCAACUUUAGUUAAAUUUAAAUUUAUUUCUUUAGUUUAUAUAAGUAACAUAACUUUUUUAUUUGAAUUUGCAGGUGAUUGCAUGCCAUUGACAUGGUCUAGUAAGUGUCUUGUAAUUUUAUAUUAGUACUAUGUGGUUUGACUUAUAUAAUAUAAUAUAUGAUUGUUAAUUAGUUAUAUAGGUGGAGGAGAAGAAAAGAGGAAGACAAACUAAACAACUCCUCAAUUUUGUUACAAUGAUGCUAUUGACAUUGAACAGGUAAGUAUGGAUCUAAGAGUCAGUUUGGUUAAGAUUAUAAAAAAAAAAAAAUACAUUUUUAUUUUGAUUAAGUUCUGUUUGUGUUAAGUUUUGUAAAAACAUAUUUUGUCAAAAAUUUACUUAUAUGUUGAAAUAAUUUUUUUUUUGUUAAUUAGCUUUUGAAGAAAAACAUUUUUAAUAGAAGAGAAGGUAGUACACAAUCUCUUUCAUAAUUUGAACCAUACACAAUGGUUUAUGUUAUUCUUUUAUUUUCAGAAGUAGAUUAUUUAUGAUAUUCUUUAAAAGAUCUAUAUUAUUUAAUAUUAAAAUCAGUUUUCUUUUUCAUCUAUUGUACAAUCUUGCCUUUGAUUUCGUGAUUAUAUUAAAUAAAGUUUAUAAGAAAGUUUCAUGUUAUUGUAACGUUUGAAAGAUAGUUAUUCAUUAAUUAAUUUAAUGUUUAAAAUGUGAAAUAUAAUGUACAUCACAUUCAGUAGCAAGUUCAGUUGACUUUCUUAUAAAGCUGUUAAUAUUUGGAGUUAAUAUUUGGAGGAGCUUCAUAAAGAAUGAAAUUAAUUGAUUUGAACGGAAAUCUUUGUUUGAGGGUAAAUGUAGAUAUUGCAUAAAUAAUUAUAGAAAUCUUUAGUCGACAUAAAUAGCAAAUUUAUUGAAGAUAUAAAAAAAAAAUUCUAAUUUGUCACGAUUCAUAUUAAAAAAUUAAAUAAUAAAAUCCAUUUUAUUAUUUGCUAAUUUUUUUUGUAGCCAUAUUUAAAACUUCACGUGUUCGAUUAUCAACCCGUUUGCUCAAUUUAAUUUUCCCAUUCAUUGCUCUUUCUCUCACCGAAAAUAUUCGAGUUUUAAGUGGAGUAACAAACACCUCUUUCUCAAGAUUAUAUUUCUUAUGAGAAUUGUUUAAGAGGUGGUUGUUACUCGACUUGAAGCUCGAAGAUUUUCUGUAAGUGAAAUAGCUGUUAAGAAGUCCCACAUCGGUUGCGAGAUGGUCUGACUAAGUGUUUAUAUACUAGAGGCAAUCCUCACCUUACAAGCCGGUUUUGUAAGGAUGAGUUAGGCCCAAUAUCCAUUUCUAAGAUGGNNNNNNAGGGGGUGUGUUAAGAAGUCCCACAUCGGUUGCGAGAUGGCCUGACUAAGUGUUUAUAUACUAGAGGCAAUCCUCACCUUACAAGCCGAUUUUGUAAGGAUGAGUUAGGCCCAAUAUCCAUUUCUAAGAAGAGCAAAGAAUCGGACAAUUGAAUUGAGUAAAUGUGUUGAUAAUUGAACACAGGAUGUUUUAAGAUAUGACUACAAAUGUUUUAGAAAAUAAUAAAAUUGAUUUUUAUUAUUUAAUUUUUAUUAUGAAUUAAGACAAAUUUGUAAUUUUUUAUAUAUAUUCUCUAAAUUUGGUAUUUCAUUACAACUAAAACUUUGUAGAAUUGUUUAUGCCGUACUCUACUUAUUUACUCUAGAACAAAAACUUCCGUUCAAAGGCAGAAGUGAUUAAUUUCAUUUUUUACUAAGCUUCUCCAAAUGCUAACAAUAAGAAGAGAAAUCUGGCUGAACUGAAUGUGAUAUACAUCACGUUUAACAUUUCAAACAAUGAAUUAAUUAAUGAAUAACUAUGUUUUAAACAUUAAAAUAACAUGAAAUUUUUUCCCUACAUUUUGUGAAUACAUGUUGGAACAAAGAACACAUUAGUGUGUGAAUUGAAAAUAAAAUUUUGAGUCCCUUAUCGGGUACUAGAACAUACUAGUGUGUAAUUUAUUUUUUUUGGAAAAAUAAAUAAAUUAAGUCUCGCAUCCGUUGUCUUUGACCUUCUCCGUUCGUGCUUCGUAUCCGGUUCUUGGCUGGGUCGAAUUUCAUGGAUGACGUUUGUAAGACCCGAGAAAUUUAUUUUAAUAUAUAGUAACUAAUUUAUUUACGUGUCAAAAUACUCUAACUUUAUAUCUUUUACAACAAGUUGUUUUAUACUAUGAUUUUAUUUAUUGAUCAGAGAACUUUACAUCAAUAUUUUUAUUUUAUACUUUUAAGGACGAAACUAUUUUUAAGGGGGUAAUAAUGUAAGACCCGAAGUAUUAUAUAUAUAUGUCAUUCUUAGUAUUCCUAUUGAUUUAUUAUUUAAUUAAUAUAACUUAUUUUAUUUCUUGUUUUGAUUAAUUAUUAUAUGAUCUAUUUUAAUAAAAUUACUUCUUGACUAUCACUCGCCACUCAUAUUGGAUUCGAACAGGAGACCAUGAAGGUUGAUGACGUAACCACAAGAUGGUUUGAUGGUUUGUGGUUACGUCACCAACCUUCAUGGUCUCCUGUUCGAAUCCAGCACGAGGGGCGAGUGAUAGUCAAAAAAGUAUUAAAAAUCAAUUGUCUUAUUAUUUUAGAAAUAUAAGUGGCCAAACCAUUUUAAUAUCACGUGAUUGACUUUAGCAAAUGAUUCAAAAUUACAAGGAAAUAGAAUUAGUAUGUCCUUCAUGGUCAAUUUUGAAUCAUUUGCUAAAGUCAAUUACGUGAUACUAAAAUGGCUUGACCACUUAUAAUUCUAAAAUAAUAAGAUAAUUGAUUUCUAACACUUUAGAUAAUUUUAUUAAAAUAGAUCAUAAAAUAAGUUAUAUUUAAUUAAAUAAUAAAUCAAUAGAAGUACUAAGAAUGACAUAUAUAAUAUAUAUAAAAUAUCGGUUUAUGUUGUUACAAUUUUGCUCUAACUUAUUUGUCUUCGGUGCUUCUGUGAGUAAGAAGGAGGUUGUUUUGUUCGAUCAAGUCCUUGUCGCCGGUUUCAUGAUCUUGGGACUGGUUUUGUUUCAUGAUCGUGGGCGAUGGUGGUGGAUCUCUGCGUGGUGAGUGUUGCAGUUCUCUUCGUCCUCAAUGGGGUGUACAUGGAUUGGGCAAAUCCGGUUGACCCGGUCAAACCCACCCUAUCCAACCCAAAAAAUUGGGUCGGGCAAUUGAGUGGAAAUGAAUUUCAAAAAUAAAAAACCCAUAAAAAAAUCGGGUUAUGGGUAAAACUGUACCCAACCCAAAAAACUCACUGACCAACUAGUGUUAUGGUUUUUUGAAAUAGUUUUUAUGAAAAUACUAAAGGUUUUGUCAUUUGAUCGUUAAAUAUUUUUAUAGUAAAAAUAAGUUAUACUAUUUAUUAAGAAAAUAAAAAGAUUGAAUAAUUUUUAUAAACAAAUAUGAUAAAUUAUCGCACUAUUUUUAAAAAAUGAAAAAAAUUGAAUAACUUUUAAAAACAAAUGUCAUAAUUCAUCACAAUAUUUUUUUGAAAAAUAAAAAUAUUUAAUACAGUAAUUUUUAUAAAUGAUUUAUCGUUUAGUCAUUUGAUAUAAAAAAACAAAAAAAAAUUUGGAUAGCACAAUAUCCAACCCGUAAAUUAGUGGGUUCACAUAAAAAAUUGGUGAUUAUUUUUCAUAGUGAAAAAAAGUUACACUAUUUUUCAAGAAAAUACAAUGAGUGAGUUAUUUUAAUGGAAAAAUGCGAUGAUUCGUCAUUUAGAUAUUUAAUAUUAAAAAAAAUAGAAAAAUAAUUUGGGUAACUCACGAUCCAACCCAACCCCGGAAAUUAGUGGAUUUACCCAACUCGGCCCAAUGUUGUAACAGGUGGUUAUUUUACUAGACCCAAUCUGGAGUACCCUAUGUGGUUCGGAUUUUGGUUUUGGCCAAACCCAACCCAAUCCGGCCCAUGUACAGUAGGGAUGUACUUGGGUCGGAUUAGGUUGGAUUUGGCCAAAACCAAAACCUGAACCACAUAGGAUACUCUGGAUUGGGUCUAGUAAAAUAACCACCCGUUAUAACAUUGAGCCGAGUUGGGUAAAUCCACAAAUAUCCAUGUUGAAUUGGGUUGGCUAGUGAGUCACCCAAAUUAUAUUUCUAUUUUUUUAUAUUAAAUAUAUAAAUAUCGAAUGUUUUAAAAAUAACUAAACCAAUAUAUUUUCUUGAAAAAUAGUAUAACUUUUUUUCAAUAUAAAAAUAAUCACAAUAUUUUGUGUAAACCCUCUAAUUUACGGAUUGGAUAGUGUGCUAUCCAUUUUUUUUUUGUGUUUUUUAAUAUCAAAUGAUUAAACGAUGAAUCAUCAUAUUUGUUUAUGAAAAUUAUUCAAUUUUUUUUAAAUAGUGCGAUGAAUUAUCAUAUUUGUUUAUAAAAAUUAUUCAAUUUUUUUAUUUUCUUUAAAAUUAGUAUAACUUAUUUUCAAUUUAAAUAUAUUUAACGAUCAAAUGGCAAAAUCUUUAGUAUUUUAAUAAAAAAAUAUUUCAAAAAAAAAUACACUAGUGGGUUAGUACAGUUUGUUGGGUUGAGUCCGGUUUUACUCGUAACCCGAUUUUUUUAUGGGCUUUUCAUUUUUGAAAUUCAUAUCCAACCACUUGCCCGACCCAAUCCACUUUUUUGGGUUGAAUUGGGUGGGUUUGACCGGGUCGACAAGAUUUGUCCAUUCCAUGUACACCCCUACACGUACACCCCUAGUCCUCAUUGUGUUGGUUUUGAUCUCUGAUUUCUUUCAGAUCUGUUGAGAUCUGUAGUUUUCUUGAUUGUUGCUUCGCCACCUCUGUGCCGAUGGACUUGGGUUGUUUGGAAGAUGGUUCUGGUCGUGUUCAUUCGGACUUGCGACAGUCUUAGCCUUUUAAUCUAGUUUAGUCCUUGUUGAUUAAAUUCAAACGGUAUGGCCAGAAAUUACUAUGAAUUUGUUGAUCUCUUUACCGCAAAUUGUUGGUGUGUGGGUCAUAUAUUUUUUACGCAAGUGCGUGGGUCAUUACCGUGUUGGCGAUUGUCCCUUCGCCGUUUUAAAAAUCAGGGCUUGAUGGUUAGCUGCCCUAACACAUCUUUUUUUGCAAUUCGGUUUCACUCCUGUUUGUGGGUUCGCUGGAUUGUGCUCAUGUUAUGUAGGGAUACGCUUCCGGAUGUGAUUUUAUGGUUUCGUACCCUUUAGAGAAGUUUUGUUUUUGCCUCUUUGGAUUGUUUGAUUUUGCUUACUGGGUUUAGGCUUUAUGUCCCCUAGUUAUUGUAAUUUUCCUUUUUAUUUUAAUCUACUUAGGGUGUCGCAGUUCCUUCUGCACCCAAUUUGUUUAAAUAAAAUAAAAUUAAUCACUUCUGGCUUUGAGAGUAAAUGUGUAAAAUACUGCAUAAAUAAUUAUACAAAAUUUUAGUCUUCAAGAUAUAUAAAAAAAAUGUUAAUUUGUCACUAAGUAAAAAAUAAAUAAUUUAAAUUCAUAUUAUUAUUUGCUAAAUUUUUUGUAGCCAUAUUUUAAGACAUGCCAUAUUCGAUUAUCAACCCGUUUACUCGAUUCAAUUGUACAAUUCUUUGUUGUUUCUGUCACAGAAAAUAUUCGAGUUUCAAGUAGAGUAACAACCAUCUCCUUCUGGGGAUCAUAUUUCUUAGGAUCAUAUUUGACUUGAAACUCAAAGAUUUUCUAUGACAGAAAGAGCAAAGAAUUUGACAAUUGAAUAUUGAGUAAACGAGUUGUUUUAAAAUAUAACUACCAAUUUUUUGUAGUAAAUAAUAAAAUGAUUUUUAACAACGCAAAAAUUUCUGUUCAUGCUGCAAUUAUAAAGGCGUUAACUUCCAUCUCCAUGAGUGCAAAAUUGAUCAUAAAGACGUUUAACAGUUCUUCCGCGUCUAUGGGUUUAUUCUGUGAUCAUUCAACAAAGUUUUGCGGCGGAUUUGUGCAAAAUAUUACUGGUACUGUGUUGCAUGCUGAGCUCAUGACUAUGAUCUUUGCAGUGGAAUUGGCAUACAGUAAAGGGUGGAAAUUUUUGUGGCUUGAGAAUGACUCCCAAUCUGCCCUUGUUAGCGUUCGAUAAUAACAAUCUAGUGCCAUGGGAUCUCCGAAACAGGUGGUUGAAUUGUUGUUAUCUUCAACUCACUAUUGGUUGGUCUCACAUUUAUCGUGAGGGAAAUUCU